AAAUGAAUUGACGGGGGCCCGCACAAGCGGUGGAGUAUGUGGUUUAAUUCGACGCAACGCGAAGAACCUUACCAGGGUUUGACAUCCACUGAAUACCUAAGAGAUUAGGUCGGCCCCUUCGGGGGACAGUGAGACAGGUGGUGCAUGGCUGUCGUCAGCUCGUGUCGUGAGAUGUUGGGUUAAGUCCCGCAACGAGCGCAACCCUUAUCCUGUGUUACCAGCGUGAAAGACGGGGACUCACAGGAGACUGCCGCCGACAAGGCGGAGGAAGGCGGGGAUGACGUCAAGUCAUCAUGCCCCUUAUGUCCUGGGCUACACACGUACUACAAUGGGUGCGAACAGAGGGCAGCAAUCCCGCGAGGGGGAGCCAAUCCCACAAAAGCACUCUCAGUUCGGAUCGCAGGCUGCAACCCGCCUGCGUGAAGUCGGAAUCGCUAGUAAUCGCAGAUCAGCAGGCUGCGGUGAAUACGUUCCCGGGCCUUGUACACACCGCCCGU
RNAcentral lists this ribosomal RNA (497 nucleotides) under uncultured bacterium. RNAcentral's name for it is "bacterial SSU rRNA". It matches the Rfam family "Bacterial small subunit ribosomal RNA", at positions 903 to 1397 of the family's 1533-position model. The record is from RNAcentral.